GGUCGAGUGGUGUAGUGGUUAUCACGUGUCGUUCACAAUCUCAUGUGGACUUCUUCCGACAAGGUCCCCGGUUCGAUCCCGGGCUCGAUCA
Molecule: non-coding RNA, 91 nt
Organism: Cryphonectria parasitica EP155
Lineage: Eukaryota; Fungi; Ascomycota; Sordariomycetes; Diaporthales; Cryphonectriaceae
Source: the annotation of a RefSeq genome assembly